RNAcentral lists this ribosomal RNA (496 nucleotides) under uncultured bacterium. Its description in RNAcentral is "bacterial SSU rRNA". It matches the Rfam family "Bacterial small subunit ribosomal RNA", at positions 32 to 509 of the family's 1533-position model. The record is from RNAcentral.
AACGCUAGCGGUAGGCAUAACACAUGCAAGUCGAGGGGCAGCUGUUAGUAGUAGCAAUACUAUUAGAGAAAGGCGACGGCGGAUGGGUGAGUAACGCGUAUGCAACCUAGCUUGUACAGAGGGAUAGUCAUUGGAAACGAUGGGUAAACCCUCGUAAUGUUUUGAGAGGCAUCUUUUCAAAAAGAGAGUGUAGCAAUACAGGUAUAAGAUGGGCAUGCGUAGGAUUAGGCUAGUUGGUGAUAGUAACGGUACACCAAGGCGACGAUCCUUAGGGGUUCUGAGAGGAAUGUCCCCCACAUUGGAACUGAGAACGGUCCAAACUCCUACGGGAGGCAGCAGUGAGGAAUAUUGGUCAAUGGGCGGAAGCCUGAACCAGCCAUACCGCGUGCAGGAGGAAGGUCUUAUGGGUUGUAAACUGCUUUUAUGCGGGGAUAAAGUGCCGUACGCGUACGGUAUUGCAGGUACCGCAUGAAUAAGGACCGGCUAAUUCCGUGCC